CAUGCCAAUCCACACUUAUGGCAUGCCGCGGGAAUAAAAAAGGAGGAAUCACCCAUCCGGGAGACUCCCGGUGCGGCAUUGUGGAGACAUGCCGUAAUGCGUCCGCCAAGCCCGGCGGUCGUGAGAAUGCGCCUUGCGGAGGCAGCGCAGUCAGAGUCGGAAUCACUAUGGCA
This 173-nucleotide non-coding RNA is filed under the name human gut metagenome. RNAcentral describes it as "malK-I RNA". It matches the Rfam family "malK-I RNA". The record is from RNAcentral.